RNAcentral lists this long non-coding RNA (1593 nucleotides) under Sphaeramia orbicularis (orbiculate cardinalfish). RNAcentral describes it as "lncRNA (ENSSORG00005006393.1)". Lineage: Eukaryota; Metazoa; Chordata; Actinopteri; Kurtiformes; Apogonidae. The record is from RNAcentral.
AUGACCUCUGCCAAGGAGGACAUGUGUUCACCAGGGUCUGUCUGUCUGUCUGUCUGUCUGUCUGUAUGUGUCCGUCUGUCUGUGUCUGUAUGUGUCUGUCUGUCUGUAUGUGUCUGUCUGUGUCUGUAUGUGUCUGUCUGUCUGUAUGUGUCUGUCUGUCUGUGUCUGUCUGUCUGUCUGUGUCUGUAUGUGUCUGUCUGUCUGUGUCUGUAUGUGUCUGUCUGUCUGUCUGUGUCUGUCUGUCUGUAUGUGUCUGUCUGUCUGUCUGUCUGUCUGUGUCUGUCUGUCUGUGUCUGUCUGUCUGUCUGUAUGUGUCUGUCUGUCUAUCUGUCUGUCUGUGUCUGUCUGUGUCUGUCUGUCUGUCUGUAUGUGUCUGUCUGUCUGUCUGUAUGUGUCUGUCUGUCUGUGUCUGUCUGUCUGUCUGUCUGUCUGUCUGUGUCUGUCUGUCUGUCUGUAUGUGUCUGUCUGUCUGUGUCUGUCUGUGUCUGUCUGUCUGUCUGUAUGUAUGUGUCUGUCUGUCUGUCUGUCUGUCUGUCUGUAUGUGUCUGUCUGUCUGUCUGUCUGUGUCUGUCUGUCUGUCUGUAUGUGUCUGUCUGUCUGUCUGUGUCUGUCUGUGUCUGUCUGUCUGUCUGUAUGUGUCUGUCUGUCUGUCUGUCUGUCUGUAUGUGUCUGUCUGUCUGUAUGUGUCUGUCUGUCUGUCUGUCUGUGUCUGUCUGUCUGUCUGUAUGUGUCUGUCUGUCUGUAUGUGUCUGUCUGUCUGUGUCUGUCUGUGUCUGUCUGUCUGUCUGUAUGUAUGUGUCUGUCUGUCUGUAUGUGUCUGUCUGUGUCUGUCUGUCUGUAUGUGUCUGUCUGUAUGUGUCUGUCUGUGUCUGUCUGUAUGUAUGUGUCUGUCUGUCUGUAUGUGUCUGUCUGUGUCUGUCUGUCUGUAUGUGUCUGUCUGUCUGUCUGUCUGUGUCUGUCUGUCUGUCUGUAUGUGUCUGUCUGUCUGUGUCUGUCUGUCUGUCUGUAUGUAUGUGUCUGUCUGUCUGUGUCUGUCUGUGUCUGUCUGUCUGUCUGUCUGUAUGUGUCUGUCUGUCUGUCUGUAUGUAUGUGUCUGUCUGUCUGUGUCUGUCUGUCUGUCUGUAUGUGUCUGUCUGUCUGUGUCUGUCUGUGUGUCUGUCUGUCUGUGUCUGUAUGUGUCUGUCUGUCUGUCUGACUGUAUGUGUCUGUCUGUCUGUCUGUAUGUGUCUGUCUGUCUGUGUCUGUAUGUGUCUGUCUGUCUGUCUGUCUGUCUGUGUCUGUCUGUGUCUGUCUGUGUCUGUCUGUCUGUGUCUGUCUGUCUGUGUCUGUCUGUGUCUGUAUGUGUCUGUCUGUCUGUCUGACUGUAUGUGUCUGUCUGUCUGUCUGUAUGUGUCUGUCUGUCUGUGUCUGUAUGUGUCUGUCUGUCUGUCUGUCUGUCUGUGUCUGUCUGUGUCUGUCUGUGUCUGUCUGUCUGUCUGUCUGUCUGUCUGUCUGUGUCUGUCUGUCUGUGUGUGUAUGUCUGUCUGUCUGUCUGUCUGUGUCUGUCUGUGUCUGUCUGUCUGUUACCAAGAUAACUCAAAAAGUUAUGGAUGA